AUUGAACGCUGGCGGAAUGCUUUACACAUGCAAGUCGAACGGCAGCACGGACUUCGGUCUGGUGGCGAGUGGCGAACGGGUGAGUAAUACAUCGGAACGUGCCCAAUCGUGGGGGAUAACGUAGCGAAAGCUACGCUAAUACCGCAUACGAUCUAAGGAUGAAAGCGGGGGAUCGCAAGACCUCGCGCGAUUGGAGCGGCCGAUGGCAGAUUAGGUAGUUGGUAGGGUAAAGGCCUACCAAGCCGACGAUCUGUAGCUGGUCUGAGAGGAGGAUCAGCCACACUGGGACUGAGACACGGCCCAGACUCCUACGGGAGGCAGCAGUGGGGAAUUUUGUACAAUGGACGCAAGUCUGAUCCAGCCGUUCCGCGUUCAGGAUGAAGGCCCUCGGGUUGUAAACUGCUUUUGUACAGAACGAAAAGGCUCUGGUUAAUACCUAGGGCUCAUGACGGUACUGUAAGAAUAAGCACCGGCUAACUACGUGCCAGCCGCCGCCGUAA
This 500-nucleotide ribosomal RNA is filed under the name uncultured bacterium. Its description in RNAcentral is "partial 16S ribosomal RNA". It matches the Rfam family "Bacterial small subunit ribosomal RNA", at positions 30 to 523 of the family's 1533-position model. The record is from RNAcentral.